AUUGAACGCUGGCGGCAUGCCUUACACAUGCAAGUCGAACGGUAACGCGGGGCAACCUGGCGACGAGUGGCGAACGGGUGAGUAAUGUAUCGGAACGUGCCCAGUUGUGGGGAUAACUGCUCGAAAGAGCAGCUAAUACCGCAUACGACCUGAGGGUGAAAGCGGGGAUCGCAAGACCCGCGCAAUUGGAGCGGCCGAUAUCAGAUUAGGUAGUUGGUGGGGUAAAGGCCCACCAAGCCAACGAUCUGUAGCUGGUCUGAGAGGACGACCAGCCACACUGGGACUGAGACACGGCCCAGACUCCUACGGGAGGCAGCAGUGGGGAAUUUUGGACAAUGGACGCAAGUCUGAUCCAGCCAUGCCGCGUGCGGGAAGAAGGCCUCGGGUUGUAAACCGCUUUUGUCAGGGAAGAAACGCUCUGGGUUAAUACCUCGGGGUAAUGACGGUACCUGAAGAAUAAGCACCGGCUUACUACGUGCCAGCAGCCGCGGUAAUACGUAGGGUGCAAGCGUUAAUCGGAAUUACUGGGCGUAAAGCGUGCGCAGGCGGUUAUGCAAGACAGAGGUGAAAUCCCGGGCUCAACCUGGGAACUGCCUUUGUGACUGCAUAGCUAGAGUACGGCAGAGGGGGAUGGAAUUCCGCGUGUAGCAGUGAAAUGCGUAGAUAUGCGGAGGAACACCGAUGGCGAAGGCAAUCCCCUGGGCCUGUACUGACGCUCAUGCACG
This 725-nucleotide ribosomal RNA is filed under the name uncultured bacterium. RNAcentral describes it as "bacterial SSU rRNA". It matches the Rfam family "Bacterial small subunit ribosomal RNA", at positions 28 to 755 of the family's 1533-position model. The record is from RNAcentral.